CUUCAAUUGGAUCCAACAUUCCAUUUAUUGAAACUCUGCUGUCAAAGCUCUGUUUUCUUUUUCUUUCAUAGGAUUUAACAGUCAGAAUUAGAGAUAUAAUGUGGGGCGCCGUUCAAUUGGGAGUAUUGGCGGCCUUUCUUGUACUCUUUGUCCCUCUGGGUAUGGCUGGUUGGCACUUGAGUCGCAACAAAAUGUUAUUUUUCAGCUGUGCCCUCUUCAUUACCCUUGCUGUUUGUGUUCAUUUGACCCCUUAUUUCCCUUCAGUCUCCUCUAUGCUUUCUUCAUCAUCAUCAUCAUCAAUGGUAAAUCUUGACUCUUGCAUUUCUUUACUUCACCAAGUAGCAUUUAAUUUUCAAGAAUUGAAUAAUGAGAAUUGUAGUGUGGAAAAUACUGUUAGGAGUAGUAGUGCGAAGUCUUGGAAGUGGAUUGAGUCUGAACCUGUUGUUCAAUGUGAUUUCCAAAAGUUGUCCAAGUCUCAUGCUUCAGAUUUGUUUAAUGGGUCAUGGGUUGUUGUUGCUGGGGAUUCACAGGCAAGGUUGUUUGUAGUUUCUUUGUUGGAGUUGUUAUUGGGGGAAAGUGAAAUGGAGAUGAUUAGGGGGGAUUUGUUCAAGAGGCAUAGUGAUUAUAACAUACUUAUUGAUGAGAUUGGGAUGAAGUUGGAUUUUAUUUGGGCGCCUUAUGUGAGUAACUUGACUGAUUUGGUUCUGGGGUUUGAAGAGAAAAAGAGUUAUCCUGAUGUAUUUGUGAUUGGGACAGGGCUAUGGGAUAUGUUACAUAUAAAUAAUGCAACUGAUUAUGGUGUUUCCCUAAAGUUGUUGAGGGAUUUGGUGGUAUUACUGUUACCAGUACCUUCAGAUUUUGUUAAUGAUGGAGCUGGCAUGAAUUUAGUUUCAGUUCGUUCACCCAACUUCUUUUGGCUGGGAAUGCCAAAGCUGAUAAACUCAAUGUUGAAUACAGAUGAGAAGCGAAAGAAGAUGACUGAUGUGAUGUGGCAAGCUUAUACUGAUGAGCUUUAUAGCAGUAAGCUGCUGCGACAAUCUGGUGGACCCCUUUUGUUGCUGGACAUUCAUGCAUUGAGUAAUAAUUGUGGAGCUCAUUGUACUACUGACGGAAUGCAUUAUCACGGAGUUGUAUAUGAAGCUGCAGUUCAUGUAAUGCUAAACGGAUUGCUUAUAGAAUCUAAUCAGAAGCUGUAAUGGAGACAGGGUAAUAGAAUUAGUUUUGUAAUUGCUAGAGCUUUCAUUAUUAUAUGGGAUUCUUUUCCUGGUGUUACACUUAUCAACUGAAGAUCAGUGGCAAGAAGUUUUUUAUGGUAGUCCAUACUAAGGUUACCGUAUCCUCCUCCAGUUAUGUGUCCACCAACACCAACAGUUGGACAAACACCAGCUGGGAAGGCAUGGACUUUGUUUUUCUCCCAAAUUCUGUAGUAAAGUUCGCCUAGAAGUGCACCAGCUUGGACCCAAGCAGUUUCAUUUUGGAUAUCUACAUCAAUUGAACGCAG
Solanum stenotomum is the source of this 1501-nucleotide RNA transcript. It is a transcript of the gene named protein ALTERED XYLOGLUCAN 9-like, with no coding region annotated. The transcript has 2 exons. The record is from RefSeq and is a predicted model, not a curated record. NCBI's taxonomy places the organism in Eukaryota, Viridiplantae, Streptophyta, Magnoliopsida, Solanales, Solanaceae.